This is a non-coding RNA of Microcebus murinus (gray mouse lemur), 397 nucleotides long. The record is from RefSeq and is a predicted model, not a curated record. NCBI's taxonomy places the organism in Eukaryota, Metazoa, Chordata, Mammalia, Primates, Cheirogaleidae.
CAUUCCUCCUGAGCUUGUCAGGGCAGGUUGCUGAGCACCCCUCAAAGAGAACCAGCCCCUGACACAUGCUUUCACUCUCUACUGCCCAGCGCUAAUAUAGUUCCCAUCCUCUUGUUCCCCUACAGGGAAUCCUUCCAAAACACGGAGGAGAAAUAUGAAAAUAUGGGGAGUAAAUGGUAAUAUGGAGCACCCAAGCUGAACCCCAAGCUGAAGACACAGCAGCCCUUUCUCCCCUUCCACCACGUGAGGACACAGUGCUGGCCCCUGCACAAGAUUUGGCAACAAGGCACCAUGUGCCAGGGAGACUGUGCCCUCAGCAGACAUUGACCUGCUGUCACCUGGAUCUUAGACUGCCAGACCCCAGGACUGUCAGAAAUAAAUUUCUGGUUUUUGUAAA